This is a small nuclear RNA of Delphinapterus leucas (beluga whale), 107 nucleotides long. NCBI's taxonomy places the organism in Eukaryota, Metazoa, Chordata, Mammalia, Artiodactyla, Monodontidae. The record is from Ensembl.
GUGCUCACUUUGGCCGCACAUAUACUAAAAUUGGAAUGAUACAGAGAAGAUUAGCAUGGCCCCUGCACAAGGAUGACACACAAAUUCAUGAAGUGUUCCAUUUUUUU